UACGUAGGGUGCGAGCGUUAAUCGGAAUUACUGGGCGUAAAGCGUGCGCAGGCGGUUUUUUAAGCCAGAUGUGAAAUCCCCGGGCUCAACCUGGGAACUGCAUUUGGAACUGGAAGACUAGAGUAUAGCAGAGGGGGGUAGAAUUCCACGUGUAGCAGUGAAAUGCGUAGAUAUGUGGAGGAAUACCAAUGGCGAAGGCAGCCCCCUGGGUUAAUACUGACGCUCAUGCACGAAAGCGUGGGGGGAGCAAACAGGAUUAGAUACCCUGGUAGUCCACGCCCUAAACGAUGUCAACUAGGUGUUGGGGGAGGAGACUUCCUUAGUACCGCAGCUAACGCGUGAAGUUGACCGCCUGGGGAGUACGGUCGCAAGAUUAAAACU
RNAcentral lists this ribosomal RNA (381 nucleotides) under uncultured bacterium. RNAcentral describes it as "partial 16S ribosomal RNA". It matches the Rfam family "Bacterial small subunit ribosomal RNA", at positions 524 to 901 of the family's 1533-position model. The record is from RNAcentral.